UACAGAGGGUGCGAGCGUUGUUCGGAAUUACUGGGCGUAAAGCGCGCGCAGGCGGCUUCUUAAGUCUGUCGGUCAAAUGCCGGGGCUCAACCCCGCUGCAUGCCGGGGAUACUGGGAGGCUGGAGACACGUAGAGGCAAGCGGAAUUCCGGGUGUAGCGGUGGAAUGCGUAGAGAUCCGGAAGAACACCGGAGGCGAAGGCGGCUUGCUGGGCGUGAUCUGACGCUGAGGCGCGAAAGCGUGGGGAGCGAACAGG
RNAcentral lists this ribosomal RNA (255 nucleotides) under uncultured bacterium. RNAcentral's name for it is "partial 16S ribosomal RNA". It matches the Rfam family "Bacterial small subunit ribosomal RNA", at positions 524 to 776 of the family's 1533-position model. The record is from RNAcentral.